This is a long non-coding RNA of Seriola aureovittata, 796 nucleotides long. RefSeq lists it as uncharacterized. The record is from RefSeq and is a predicted model, not a curated record. The transcript is spliced from 4 exons. NCBI's taxonomy places the organism in Eukaryota, Metazoa, Chordata, Actinopteri, Carangiformes, Carangidae.
AUCUGGAUCUCCAGCUACCGGCGGAGGACUGAGAAAUUAUCAGGAUAUCAACAGUCACAGGGAAGAUUUCCAAAAUUAGUCACCGCCAGUGGAAACAUGUGACACGUGUAAUGAAGGAACGACUCAGUGCCACAUAAUUACUCUUGAACUAGAUAUCUGAAGACUUUUACGGCCAAGAUAUAAAAACUACAAGGAUGGAGUCUUUUUGCGCUGUGUCUGUUGAGAUGCAGCGAGCAGCAGCUGUCAGCUGAUAUUUAAAAACCUGUGGAAACUGUAAAGUAAUGGACAGAGGACGGAGAGGGAUCCGCAGACGGCCGAUCAAUCAGCGAGCCGGGGAGUCUCACUUCCUGUUGGUCCCGCCCACCCCGACCUGUACCGCCGCCGGUCGACAGGUCCAUCACUCAGCCUGACUGACAGCUGCAGCAGCCGCUCAUCCUCCUGAUCGAUGGCGUGGACUUUCUCCACUCAGACACAGAUACUAUGAGAUCGAACGGAGAAGAACAGAACCAAAACCAGAACCCGCUUCCUUCCCUCAAAAUAAAGUUUACGUGUUUUACUGAAGAUGUUCCUGAGCUCCUGGAGAAUUGGUGAAGCGUCUGUCGGAGCGGGAGUGGAGGAGGAGAAAUGCUGGCGGCUCUUCAUCAUCACCGUGGCGGCGGUGGGAGUCGAGCGGAGGAUCAUGAAAGAAGAAGAAGUGGGAUCCUUCCUGCUACUGAAGAAAGAGAAGGAUGCUGACAAACUGAUCUGUGAGAUUUCUACUGCGCACACACACACACACACACACACACACACACAC